GUGAAUCAUCGAAUCUUUGAACGCAUAUUGCACUCUCUGGUAUUCCGGAGAGUAUGCCUAUUUGAGGGUCAUUUGAAAUAAUAUAAAUUCCAAGAUUUCUCGGUAUGUAAAAUGGGUUGUCCAUUUUUUGUUGUCGCCUAAAAUCCAAGACAAGCUCAUUGUCUUUGGUUGCGUGAUACUUUAAGUUACCACGUUUCUUUACCAGGAAUUAUCGUGCGUGUUAUGAAUUUUGCAAGUGAUAAAAAAUUCCAUGGUUUUAUCUCAUGAGAAAUAUAAAG
RNAcentral lists this unclassified non-coding RNA (278 nucleotides) under Ambisporaceae sp. Its description in RNAcentral is "partial contains 5.8S ribosomal RNA and internal transcribed spacer 2". The stretch from base 1 to 71 matches the Rfam family "5.8S ribosomal RNA", at positions 84 to 154 of the family's 154-position model. The record is from RNAcentral. Lineage: Eukaryota; Fungi; Glomeromycota; Glomeromycetes; Archaeosporales; Ambisporaceae.